This is a non-coding RNA of Onychostoma macrolepis, 1401 nucleotides long. The record is from the annotation of a RefSeq genome assembly. Lineage: Eukaryota; Metazoa; Chordata; Actinopteri; Cypriniformes; Cyprinidae.
CAACUGAGAGUCGGGUGCCUCCACCGAACGUUCGCCACAGUGAUACAAACCCAAUCAACAGCUGUACAAAAACCUCCUGCACUAAAACACACUGACAUCAACACUCACAAUAACACCGCGAGACUGUAUCUUAGUUUAGUUUUGCUUAGAAAGGUCAAAAUUAGAAAUUAACUAUUUUUACAGUAUUUUAUUGAUGUUAAUUGAUUAGAUACAGCCAAAUGUAUUUUGAUAGUUUUUGAGGUAAAUUCCAGGAUGCAUCUGAAUGUGGUUUUGAGAGUAUUUUGCAUAUUAACUGAACACGGUGCUUAAAACUCCACUCAUGAUUAUUAGUGUGUGACACUGACACACACACACAUAAGAAACAAUGAUUUCUCUUAUUCUAAUGCUGGGGACACUCUGUCUGCUUGCUCAAGUGUCUCAUGAAGAGGUUCAGUCUCCUGAGUCUCUGUCUGCUGAAGCAGGAGAUUCUGUCUCUAUCAGCUGCACUGGGACCAGCGGAGUUGAUGAUGAUAUGAGCUGGUAUCUGCAGAAAACUGGAGAAGCUCCUAAACUCCUGAUCUAUAAAGCAAAUCGACUUCAUUCUGGAGUUCCAGAUCGGUUCAGUGGAAGUCAGACUGGACUUAAAUUCACACUCAAUCUACGCAGAGUCCAGGCUGAGGAUGCAGGAGAUUAUUACUGUAUGGGGUAUUAUAGUGGUGGAGUGUGCACACAGUGAAACAGCAUCAUACAAAAACCUCCCUCUGUCAGACAGCAGAGAAUAUGUGAAUACUGAGAAGUUCACAAUGUCAGUCAGUUACGAUAUCAAGUUGUGCUUAAUUAUAUUUGCAAAUAUAGAUAGUACAUCCACAAGAUAAUACACAAUGAUGAAUUAACCAGAGUUUAGUUCAUUGUGAAUGAAACAUGAAAUCCAUGCAUCUGUUUCAGUAUUCACACACAUUUUCAUUCAUCCUUAGCUGCCCUAAUUUGUAGCAUUUUGAACAAAAUGAGUAAAAAUGAAUUGUAAAAUAUACACUCUCACUGAAGAUGCUAAACUUUAACAUUCACAUGUUCAACAGCCACCAACACUUCACUAUGAAAUGAAAGGUUAGUGGAGUAACUGGGAAACCAACCCGAUAUAUCUUUAAUGUACCUCAUGUAUAUGUAAGAUCAUUGACAGCUGGGUGUUCACACAGGUAGUGGGCAGUAGGCUCCCUUAGUCAGAUUACUGAACAUCUUCUAAUGCAACUGUUGGUGCUGAAAAGAGAACAAAAAUAAUCAUUAAAUAUGACACUUAAGCACUCACAAUGUUUAUGUGUUUAAUAUAAUUAAUCAUCCAACCCAACAAUAUAUAUAUUUUUAAGAAAUUUCCAUUCCAUCCUCCUUCUUCUGUAACUUGAUUUAAUCCAGACUAUUUAUUUUUAU